GAUGAACGCUGGCGGCGUGCUUAACACAUGCAAGUCGAACGAUUAAGCCCAGCUUGCUGGGUGGAUUAGUGGCGAACGGGUGAGUAACACGUGAGUAACCUGCCCGUAACUCUGGGAUAAGCCUGGGAAACUGGGCCUAUUACCGGUUAGUCGCGUCCACGGCAUGGUGGGUGCUGGGAAGCUUUAGCGGUUUUGGAUGGACUCGUGGCAUAUCAGCUUGUUUGUGGUGUAAUGGCUCACCAAGGAGGCUACGGGUAGCCCGCAUGAGAGGGUGACCGACCUCCAUGGGACUGCGGCACGGCGCAGACUCGUAUAGGAGACAGCAGUGGGAAGUAUUGUACAAUCGGCGCAAGCGUGUGAAAGAGAUCCCGGGAGUGGGAUGACGGUUUUCGGGUUAUGAACCUCUUUCAGUAAAGAAGAUGCGGUUGUGACGGUACCUGCAGAAGAAGCACCGGCUAACUACGUG
Molecule: ribosomal RNA, 466 nt
Filed under: uncultured bacterium
Lineage: Bacteria
Description: partial 16S ribosomal RNA
Rfam family: Bacterial small subunit ribosomal RNA
Source: RNAcentral